This 254-nucleotide ribosomal RNA is filed under the name uncultured bacterium. RNAcentral describes it as "partial 16S ribosomal RNA". It matches the Rfam family "Bacterial small subunit ribosomal RNA", at positions 524 to 776 of the family's 1533-position model. The record is from RNAcentral.
UACGUAGGGUGCAAGCGUUGUCCGGAAUUAUUGGGCGUAAAGAGCUCGUAGGCGGUCUGUCGCGUCGGCUGUGAAAUCCCGGAGCUCAACUCCGGGUCUGCAGUCGAUACGGGCAAAUCUGGAGUACUGCAGGGGAGACUGGAAUUCCUGGUGUAGCGGUGAAAUGCGCAGAUAUCAGGAGGAACACCGGUGGCGAAGGCGGGUCUCUGGGCAGUAACUGACGCUGAGGAGCGAAAGCGUGGGGAGCGAACAGG